Molecule: transfer RNA, 72 nt
Filed under: Ovis aries (sheep)
Lineage: Eukaryota; Metazoa; Chordata; Mammalia; Artiodactyla; Bovidae
Rfam family: tRNA
About the family: Transfer RNA (tRNA) molecules are approximately 80 nucleotides in length. Their secondary structure includes four short double-helical elements and three loops (D, anti-codon, and T loops). Further hydrogen bonds mediate the characteristic L-shaped molecular structure. tRNAs have two regions of fundamental functional importance: the anti-codon, which is responsible for specific mRNA codon recognition, and the 3' end, to which the tRNAs corresponding amino acid is attached (by aminoacyl-tRNA synthetases). tRNAs cope with the degeneracy of the genetic code in two manners: having more than one tRNA (with a specific anti-codon) for a particular amino acid; and 'wobble' base-pairing, i.e. permitting non-standard base-pairing at the 3rd anti-codon position.
Source: Rfam by way of RNAcentral
UCCCUGGUGGCUCAGAUGGUAAAGCAUCUGCCUGCAAUGCGGAAGACCCGGGUUUGAUUCCUGGGUCGGGAA